AUGCCGACGCCGGGCGCACGAGCCCUCAUCCUCCUCCUCCCGCUCCUCGUCCUCCUCCUGCUCUCCGCCAGCGCCGCCAAUGCCGCGACGGAGGCCGAGGCGCUGCUGGCCUGGAAGGCCAGCCUCGACCGCCCGCUCCCGGACGCGCUCGCCACCUGGGCCAACCCCGCGGGCCUCUGCUCCUCCUGGGAGGGCGUCUCCUGCGACGCCGCCGGCCGCGUCGACUCGCUCGCGCUCCGGGGGCUCGGCCUAGGCGGCACGCUCGACAAGCUCGACGUCGCGGCGCUCCCGGCCCUCGCCACGCUCGACCUCAACGGGAACAACUUCUUCGGCGCCAUCCCGGCGAGCCUCUCGCGCCUGCGCUUCCUCGCCACGCUCGACCUCGGCAGCAACGGCUUCAACGGCUCCAUCCCGCCGCAGCUCGCCGACCUCUCCGGCCUGGUCGAGCUGCGUCUCUACAACAACAACCUCGCCGACGCCAUUCCCCACCAGCUCAGCAGGCUCCCCAGGAUCCAGCAUUUCGAUCUGGGUGCCAACUUCCUCACCGACCCGGACUACCGCAAGUUAUCGCCGAUGCCCACCGUCAGGUUCAUGUCGCUCUACCUCAACUACCUCAACGGCGGCUUCCCGGAGUUCAUCCUCAAGAGCGCCAACGUCACCUACCUCGACCUGUCGCAGAACAAUUUCUCCGGGUCGAUACCGGAGUCGCUGGCGGAGAAGCUCCCCAACCUCAUGUACCUCAACCUGUCCAUCAAUGCUUUCUCUGGGCGGAUACCGCCGUCGCUGUCGAAGCUGAGGAAUCUCCGGGACCUGCGGGUUUUAAACAAUAAUCUGACCGGAGGAGUCCCCGAUUUCCUCGGGUCCAUGUCCCAGCUCAGAGUCCUUGAACUCGGCGGCAACCUGCUCGGCGGGCCGAUCCCGCCGGUACUUGGCCGGCUCCAAAUGCUGCAACGCCUUGAUCUCAAGAGCUCCGGGUUGAAUUCCACUAUUCCACCAGAGCUGGGCAACCUUGGCAAUCUCAAUUUGAUGGAGCUGUCCAUGAACCAGCUCACCGGUUUCCUGCCGCCGGCGUUCGCCGGGAUGCGCAAAAUGCGCGAGUUUGGCAUAUCGUCCAACAAACUCACCGGUCAGAUUCCGCCGUCUUUGUUCAGGAGCUGGCCAGAGCUCAUAUCGUUCCAAGUGCAAAUGAACUCAUUCACCGGGAAGAUUCCACCAGAGCUCGGCAAGGCAACCAAGCUGGAUAUCUUGUAUCUCUUCAGCAACAACCUUACAGGCUCUAUCCCAGCAGAGCUAGGCGAGCUGGUGAGCCUGACUCAGUUGGAUUUGUCGGUGAACUCUCUCACGGGGCCGAUCCCCAGCUCGUUCGGUAAGCUCACGAAGCUCAAGAGGCUGGCGCUCUUCUUCAACAAGCUUACCGGCACAAUCCCGCCGGAGAUUGGCAACAUGACGGCGUUGGAAGUCUUGGAUGUCAACACCAACAGUUUGGAAGGCGAGCUGCCCGCCACCAUUACAGCGCUCAGAAAUCUUCAAUACCUUGCCCUGUUCGACAACAACUUCAGUGGUACCGUACCGCCGGACCUCGGGAAGGGGCUGAGCUUGACCGACGCAAGCUUUGCGAACAACAGCUUCUCCGGCGAACUGCCGCAGAGACUAUGUGAUGGCCUCGUGCUGCAGAACUUCACGGCGAACCACAACAACUUCAGCGGCACGCUACCACCGUGCCUCAAGAACUGCACAAAUCUGUUCCGGGUGCGGUUGGAAGGGAACCACUUCACCGGCGACAUCUCAGAGGCGUUCGGCGUCCACCCCAGGUUGGACUACCUGGACGUCUCUGGGAGCGAACUGACCGGUCGUCUAUCUCCCGAUUGGGGAAAAUGCACCAAUAUCACCCGCCUACACAUGGACGGCAAUGGUUUAUCAGGUGGCAUUCCAGCGGCGUUUGGGAGCAUGGCAAGCUUACAGGACCUCAGCUUGGCUGAGAAUAAUCUCACAGGAAGUGUUCCACCUGAGCUGGGCCAGCUCAGCCUCUUAUUCAGUCUCAAUCUUAGCCAUAAUGCCCUUUCGGGGUCAAUUCCGGCAAAUUUGGGCAGCAAUUCCAAGUUACAGGCAGUCGAUUUGUCUGGGAACUCGCUUACGGGGACGAUACCGGCUGGCCUUAGCAAGCUCAGUUAUCUAAUUUUUCUUGAUAUGAGCAAGAACAAGUUGUCAGGGCAGAUACCAGAUGAUCUUGGCAAUCUUGUUCAGCUGCAGAGGCUUCUUGAUCUGAGCAGUAACUCAUUGUCAGGUGCGAUCCCCUCGAAUCUUCAGAAGCUGACGAAUUUGCAGAAACUGAACCUGUCACACAACGAUCUCAGUGGUUCAAUACCAGCAGGGUUUUCUCGCAUGUCAAGCCUUGAUACAGUUGAUUUCUCUUACAAUCGACUCACCGGUAAGAUACCAUCAGGGAAUGCUUUCCAGAACACAUCAGCUGAUGCCUACAUUGGGAAUUUGGGGCUCUGUGGUAAUGUGCAAGGUAUAACUUCUUGUGACCUCGGUUCUGGCGGUGCAUCUUCAGGGCAUCGCAAGAGAAUAGUCAUUGCAACAGUUGUGUCAGUUGUUGGGGUUGUGUUACUUGCAGCCCUUGCUGCUUGCCUCAUACUGAUAUGCAGAAGGAGGCCUCGUGAGAAGAAAGUGCUGGAGGCUAACACCAAUGAUACUUUUGAGUCCAUGAUCUGGGAAAAGGAGGGAAAGUUCACAUUCUUUGAUAUCGUGAAUGCCACAGACAACUUCAACGAAACCUUCUGCAUUGGUAAAGGAGGGUUCGGGGCCGUGUACAGGGCCGAGCUUGCAAGUGGGCAGGUUGUGGCCGUGAAGCGAUUCCAUGUCGCCGAGACAGGCGACAUAUCAGAGAUUAGCAAAAAGAGCUUUGAGAAUGAGAUAAAGGCGCUGACUGAGGUCCGCCACCGGAAUAUCGUCAAGCUCCAUGGCUUCUGCACUAGCGGUGACUACAUGUAUCUGGUGUACGAGUACCUGGAAAGGGGCAGCUUGGCGAAGACAUUGUACGGGGAGGAAGGGAAGAAGAAGCUGGACUGGGACGUGAGGAUGAAGGUGAUACAGGGGGUUGCUCAUGCCCUGGCCUACCUGCAUCAUGACUGCAACCCGCCCAUCGUUCAUCGCGACAUCACUUUGAAUAAUAUCCUGCUUGAAUCUGACUUUGAGCCACGGUUGUGUGAUUUUGGCACCGCAAAGUUGCUUGGGUCUGCUUCGACGAACUGGACUUCUGUGGCAGGAUCGUAUGGCUACAUGGCUCCAGAAUUUGCAUACACAAUGAGGGUGACAGAGAAGUGUGAUGUUUACAGCUUCGGCGUUGUUGCACUGGAGAUCCUGAUGGGGAAGCACCCAGGUGACCUGCUAACCUCUCUGCCGGCGAUAUCCUCAUCACAAGAAGACGAUUUACUCCUCAAGGACAUACUGGACCAGCGGUUGGACCCUCCAACGGAACAGCUUGCAGAAGAGGUUGUGUUCAUCGUCAGGAUAGCGCUUGCCUGCACCAGGGCAAAACCUGAAUCCAGGCCUGCAAUGCGAUCCGUAGCACAAGAGAUAGCAGCACAUACCCAGGCCUACCUCUCCGAAGCAUUCCGACUUAUCACAAUAAGCAAGCUAACAGACUACCAGAAGUGA
This 3660-nucleotide ribosomal RNA is filed under the name Triticum aestivum (bread wheat). RNAcentral's name for it is "partial small subunit ribosomal RNA". Lineage: Eukaryota; Viridiplantae; Streptophyta; Magnoliopsida; Poales; Poaceae. The record is from RNAcentral.